GUGAGGAAUAUUGGGCAAUGCCCGCAAGGGUGACCCAGCAACGCCGCGUGGAGGAUGAAGGCCGUAAGGUUGUAAACUCCUGUUAGAGGAGAAGAAUAGUACCGAUUGGAUCGGUAUUUGACUGUACCCUCAGAGAAAGCCCCGGCUAACUACGUGCCAGCAGCCGCGGUAAUACGUAGGGGGCAAGCGUUGUCCGGAUUUACUGGGUGUAAAGGGCGCGCAGGCGGGAUAGCAAGUCAGAGGUGAAAUCCUACAGCUUAACUGUAGAACUGCCUUUGAUACUGUUAUUCUUGAGUUCGGGAGAGAGAGACGGAAUUCCAGGUGUAGUGGUGAAAUACGUAGAUAUCUGGAAGAACACCAGUUGCGAAGGCGGUCUCUUGGUCCGAUACUGACGCUGAGGCGCGAAAGCGUGGGGAGCAAACAGGAUUAGAUACCCCAGUAGUCC
Molecule: ribosomal RNA, 445 nt
Filed under: uncultured Ignavibacteriales bacterium
Lineage: Bacteria; Pseudomonadati; Ignavibacteriota; Ignavibacteria; Ignavibacteriales
Description: bacterial SSU rRNA
Rfam family: Bacterial small subunit ribosomal RNA
Source: RNAcentral